AUUGAACGCUGGCGGCGUGGCUAAAGCAUGCAAGUCGAACGAGAACCCAGCAAUGGGGGACGAGUGGCGGAAGGGCGGAGUAAUGCAUUCCUACGUGCCUCGAGGUGGGGAGUAGGUCGGGGAAACCCGGGACGUAAUACCCACUGUGCUCUCCGGAGUAAAGGUUUAACCGCCUCGAGAGCGGGGAAGUGUCCUAUCAGGUAGUUGGUGAGGUAAUGGCUCACCAAGCCAAUGACGGGUAGCGGGUGUGAGAGCAUGACCCGCCGCAUCGGGACUGAGACACUGCCCGGACUCCUACGGGAGGCUGCAGCGACGAAUAUUCCGCAAUGCGCGAAAGCGUGACGGAGCGACGCCGCGUGCAGGAUGAAGCGGCUCUGCCGUGUAAACUGCUGUCAGAGUGUAGAAAAACUGAUCACACUCAAAGGAAGGGCCUGCUAAUCUCGUG
RNAcentral lists this ribosomal RNA (445 nucleotides) under uncultured bacterium. Its description in RNAcentral is "bacterial SSU rRNA". It matches the Rfam family "Bacterial small subunit ribosomal RNA", at positions 29 to 507 of the family's 1533-position model. The record is from RNAcentral.